RNAcentral lists this ribosomal RNA (686 nucleotides) under uncultured Staphylococcus sp. RNAcentral describes it as "bacterial SSU rRNA". It matches the Rfam family "Bacterial small subunit ribosomal RNA", at positions 57 to 725 of the family's 1533-position model. The record is from RNAcentral. Lineage: Bacteria; Bacillati; Bacillota; Bacilli; Caryophanales; Staphylococcaceae.
GCAAGUCGAGCGAACAGACGAGGAGCUUGCUCCUCUGACGUUAGCGGCGGACGGGUGAGUAACACGUGGAUGACCUACCUAUAAGACUGGGAUAACUUCGGGAAACCGGAGCUAAUACCGGAUAAUAUAUUGAACCGCAUGGUUCAAUAGUGAAAGACGGUUUUGCUGUCACUUAUAGAUGGAUCCGCGCCGCAUUAGCUAGUUGGUAAGGUAACGGCUUACCAAGGCAACGAUGCGUAGCCGACCUGAGAGGGUGAUCGGCCACACUGGAACUGAGACACGGUCCAGACUCCUACGGGAGGCAGCAGUAGGGAAUCUUCCGCAAUGGGCGAAAGCCUGACGGAGCAACGCCGCGUGAGUGAUGAAGGUCUUCGGAUCGUAAAACUCUGUUAUUAGGGAAGAAUAAAUGUGUAAGUAACUAUGCACGUCUUGACGGUACCUAAUCAGAAAGCCACGGCUAACUACGUGCCAGCAGCCGCGGUAAUACGUAGGUGGCAAGCGUUAUCCGGAAUUAUUGGGCGUAAAGCGCGCGUAGGCGGUUUUUUAAGUCUGAUGUGAAAGCCCACGGCUCAACCGUGGAGGGUCAUUGGAAACUGGAAAACUUGAGUGCAGAAGAGGAAAGUGGAAUUCCAUGUGUAGCGGUGAAAUGCGCAGAGAUAUGGAGGAACACCAGUGGCGAAGGCGAC